RNAcentral lists this ribosomal RNA (429 nucleotides) under Bacteroidota bacterium. RNAcentral's name for it is "Bacteroidetes bacterium partial 16S ribosomal RNA". It matches the Rfam family "Bacterial small subunit ribosomal RNA", at positions 355 to 776 of the family's 1533-position model. Lineage: Bacteria; Pseudomonadati; Bacteroidota. The record is from RNAcentral.
UAGGGAAUCUUCGGCAAUGGGGGGAACCCUGACCGAGCAACGCCGCGUGAGUGAAGAAGGUUUUCGGAUCGUAAAGCUCUGUUGUUAAGGAAGAACGAGUGUGAGAAUGGAAAGUUCAUACUGUGACGGUACUUAACCAGAAAGGGACGGCUAACUACGUGCCAGCAGCCGCGGUAAUACGUAGGUCCCGAGCGUUGUCCGGAUUUAUUGGGCGUAAAGCGAGCGCAGGCGGUUAGAUAAGUCUGAAGUUAAAGGCAGUGGCUCAACCAUUGUAGGCUUUGGAAACUGUUUAACUUGGGUGCAGAAGGGGAGAGUGGAAUUCCAUGUGGAGCGGUAAAAUGCGUAGAUAUAUGGAGGAACACCGGUGGCGAAAGCGGCUCUCUGGUCUGUAACAGACGCUGAGGCUCGAAAGCGUGGGGAGCGAACAGG